This 1674-nucleotide ribosomal RNA is filed under the name Triticum aestivum (bread wheat). RNAcentral's name for it is "partial small subunit ribosomal RNA". Lineage: Eukaryota; Viridiplantae; Streptophyta; Magnoliopsida; Poales; Poaceae. The record is from RNAcentral.
AUGCUUAAGUCAGCGAGAGGCAAAACAUCUAAAUCCUCAGGUGGGCCUAUGGAAAAAUUCUGCCAACUAUCACCUGAAGAUGCUAUAGCUGCAAGGAAGGCAAAAUCUAGUGAGAGCAUUCAAUUAAAGCUGACAACUGGGGAGAGAUUGAAGAAAAGGAACCGUGCUUGUGAGUACAUAUGCCAGUUCUUCUAUGAAGCAUGCAUUCCCUUCAAUUCAGUCACACUUCCAAGCUUUUCCCUUAUGCUUCAGUCAAUUGGACAAUACGGCGAAGACUUGCCAGGUCCUAGUCCUUAUGAAAUGGGUGGCCCAUUCUUGAAGAAGAGGAAGAAGAAAGUGAUGGAAUCCUUCAAGGCUCACAAGGAAGCUUGGGAGCUCACUGGAUGUACAAUCAUGACAGAUGCGUGGACCGACAUAAGAGGAAGAGGGGUAAUGAAUUUGGUAGUCCACAGUGCAUAUGGUGUGGUUUUUCUCGAUUCUUUUGAUUGUUCAGCUGUGAAGAAAGAUGGCAAGUACAUCUUUGACCUUGUAGAUGAUUGCAUUGAAGAGAUUGGGGAGAAACAUGUAGUUCAAGUGGUGACUGAUAAUGCAAGUGUGAAUCAAGCAGCAUCUACAUUGUUGAAUGCAAAGCGGCCCAACAUAUUCUGGAAUGGUUGUGCUGCCCAUUGUAUUGAUUUGAUGCUAGAGGACGUCGGUAAGCUGCCAUCAGUUGACUCCACUAUUACAAAAGCUAGAGCUGUGACAGUUUUCCUUUAUGCACACACAAGGGUUUUGAGCCUAAUGAGGGAGUUCCUUGGGAAAGUUCUGGUUAGGUCCGGUAUUACUAGGUUUUCUACAGCAUACUUAAACUUGAAGAGCAUGUUGGAUAACAAGAAGCAACUCCAGAAGCUAUUUAGAUCAGAUCAACUUGAUGAAAUGGGCUAUCUAAAAAAGGUUAAAGGAAGGGAAGCCAACAAAACUGUGCGCUCUGAAUUUUUUUGGAGAGGAGUAGAUAUUGUCGUGAAGUUCUUUGAACCAUUGGCUAACUUGCUAAGGAGAAUGGACAUCGAUGUACCAGCUAUGGGAUUCAUAUACGGCGCCUUUUUGGAUGCAAAGAAAGAGAUCUCAGCCAAGUUUGAAAAUGAACAACAAGAAUCUUGUUUUCAAGAAGUGUUGGAUAUAGUGGAUAAAAGAUGGGACAACAAAUUGAAGAGGCCACUACAUAGGGCUGGAUACUUCUUAAAUCCAUACUACUUUUAUGAAAACAAGCUACAAAUUUUGUUGGAUCCAACAUUUAAAGAUGGGGUUGUCAGUUGCAUGGGAAAAAUGGUGGAAGAUGUUCGCCUUCAAGACAAAAUCACAGAUGAACUUAAGGCAUAUCAAGGUGAAGAGGGGUCAUUUGGAAGAGACAUUGCUAAAAGGCAGCGGAAAAACAAAAACUUUGAUCCAGUUGAUUGGUGGUCCAAUCAUGGGUCAAGUGCACCAAAUCUCAGGGUAUUGGCGAUGCGGAUUUUGAGUUUGACAUGCAGCUCCUCGGCUUGUGAGAGGAAUUUUAGUGUUUUUCAGCAGGUCAGAAAGAUGCAUGCCAUAUGUCAACUUGUUUAUUGUCACAUUAGAAGGACAACCCAGUAUCUUUGCCAUACUUUUCUUGCAUUUGUUUACUUGUUUUUUCAUACUAAGAAAUCAAUGCUCUAA